UACGGAGGGGGCUAGCGUUAAUCGGAAUUACUGGGCGUAAAGCGCGCGUAGGCGGCUUUGCAAGUCGGGUGUGAAAUCCCCAAGCUUAACUUGGGAACUGCAUUCGAGACUGCAUUGCUAGAGUAUGGGAGAGGGAAGUGGAAUUUCCGGUGUAGCGGUGAAAUGCGUAGAUAUCGGAAGGAACAUCAGUGGCGAAAGCGACUUCCUGGACCAAUACUGACGCUCAUGUGCGAAAGCGUGGGGAGCAAACAGG
Molecule: ribosomal RNA, 253 nt
Filed under: uncultured bacterium
Lineage: Bacteria
Description: partial 16S ribosomal RNA
Rfam family: Bacterial small subunit ribosomal RNA
Source: RNAcentral